Molecule: ribosomal RNA, 446 nt
Filed under: uncultured bacterium
Lineage: Bacteria
Description: partial 16S ribosomal RNA
Rfam family: Bacterial small subunit ribosomal RNA
Source: RNAcentral
CCUACGGGGGGCAGCAGUCGAGAAUCAUUCACAAUGGGGGAAACCCUGAUGGUGCGACGCCGCGUGGGGGAAUGAAGGUCUUCGGAUUGUAAACCCCUGUCAUGUGGGAGCAAAUUAAAAAGAUAGUGCCACACGAGGAAGAGACGGCUAACUCUGUGCCAGCAGCCGCGGUAAUACAGAGGUCUCAAGCGUUGUUCGGAAUCACUGGGCGUAAGGCGUGCGUAGGCUGUUUCGUAAGUCGUGUGUGAAAGGCGCGGGCUCAACCCGCGGACGGCACAUGAUACUGCGAGACUAGAGUAAUGGAGGGGGAACCGGAAUUCUCGGUGUAGCAGUGAAAUGCGUAGAUAUCGAGAGGAACACUCGUGGCGAAGGCGGGUUCCUGGACAUUAACUGACGCUGAGGCACGAAGGCCAGGGGAGCGAAAGGGAUUAGAUACCCUGGUAGUC